RNAcentral lists this long non-coding RNA (865 nucleotides) under Homo sapiens (human). RNAcentral's name for it is "non-protein coding lnc-RCL1-4:5". Lineage: Eukaryota; Metazoa; Chordata; Mammalia; Primates; Hominidae. The record is from RNAcentral.
GCUCGCUCGGCCGCCCAGCUCCCACCUGCGCCUCUCCGCGGCCCCUCUCCACCGGCCGCUGGGCCCGGAUCCCUUCGGCGCCCCUCUGCACCCACCCCCACGCGCCCUCCACUCGGCUCAGAUCUACCUCCGCGCCUCUCCGCGACCCCGGAACCCCGCGCCCUGUCCGGCCCAUUCCCAGCCGGAUAGACCGCGCUCCCCUCUGUCCGACCUUGGCAACUCCUGCGCGCCCCCUCCCCACCUCUAGUCGCCCCUCGGAGCCGCUUGGUUUCGGGAUCCACCCGCAUCCACCCCUCCAACAACCCUUUCGUAGCCCUCGCCCCUAGUCCAUAGCAGGCGCUGCCCUACCCAGUCCUUGCCGGACACACCGCGACCCCUUUCGUGCUCCCUUGACAACCCUGGCCCCACCUCCACCUGGCGCCCACUCGAAUCCGCCCCUCCCUUCUACCCCCCUGGACCGCCAGACCCCCCGCUUCUGCACCCACUCCCGCCUUCGCCCUUCCCUCCUUCCUCCUCCUCCUCUGCUGCCGAGCGCCCUCUCUUCCCACUCCCUCUCUGUGUAGAAUCACAGGGAGUGACCUUGAGCCGAGAGGGCCUACCUCAUUUUACAGGAGAGGAAAUCCAGCUUCCAUUGAUUUUAGGAAAAGGCCCUAAAACUGGAGGUUUGGCAUGUUUCAAGAAUGGAAACAGAGGACAAAAACGUUCGAUACAGGAGACCUGCUCUGGAAGAUGCUGGUCAGGCAGUGGAUAGUCAAGUCCCAGAUCAUCCCAGGAAUCAUUUUACACUUGACAAUAACUCUUUGAUAUCCACAGAAUUGGCCCAUGAGGUUGGGUGACUCAGAGGAGGUCAAGAAGUAAGCUGUCC